UGGGGAAUCUUGCGCAAUGGGGGAAACCCUGACGCAGCGACGCCGCGUGCGGGAUGAAGGCCUUCGGGUUGUAAACCGCUUUCAGCAGGGACGAGGCCUUAUGGUGACGGUACCUGCAGAAGAAGCUCCGGCUAAAUACGUGCCAGCAGCCGCGGUAAUACGUAUGGAGCAAGCGAUAUCCGGAUUCAUUGGGCGUAAAGCGCUCGUAGGCGGUCUGUUAGGUCGGCAAGUUAAAUCCGGGGGCUCAACCCCCGUCCGCUUCCGAUACCGGCAGACUUGAGUUUGGUAGGGGAAGGUGGAAUUCCUAGUGUAGCGGUGGAAUGCGCAGAUAUUAGGAAGAACACCGGUGGCGAAGGCGGCCUUCUGGGCCAUAACUGACGCUGAGGAGCGAAAGCUAGGGGAGCGAACAGG
RNAcentral lists this ribosomal RNA (411 nucleotides) under Verrucomicrobiota bacterium. RNAcentral's name for it is "Verrucomicrobia bacterium partial 16S ribosomal RNA". It matches the Rfam family "Bacterial small subunit ribosomal RNA", at positions 355 to 776 of the family's 1533-position model. The record is from RNAcentral. Lineage: Bacteria; Pseudomonadati; Verrucomicrobiota.